CGCAGCUGACAGCCCAGAGGGCACUGGCUCCAAGCUGGUUCUGACUGUUCCCUGUAUGUGUCCACGGGGAGUAGGAGCUGGGAGGCCUGGGGAUUGGAACAUCAAUUAACUACUGACCACUGGCAGCUCACCCUUCCCACCCAUAUCCAUCAUACCUCUGGGCUCCAGAGAAAAAGCAGGUCUUGGAGUGCACCAUGAUUUCACCAUUCUUAGUGCUGGCCAUUGGCACCUGCCUUACCAACUCCUUAGUGCCAGAGAAUCUGAAAUAGAACUUCUUCUAUAAACUCUUCCAAGUCACG
This is a long non-coding RNA of Physeter macrocephalus (sperm whale), 299 nucleotides long. RefSeq lists it as uncharacterized. The transcript is spliced from 3 exons. The record is from RefSeq and is a predicted model, not a curated record. NCBI's taxonomy places the organism in Eukaryota, Metazoa, Chordata, Mammalia, Artiodactyla, Physeteridae.